RNAcentral lists this ribosomal RNA (446 nucleotides) under uncultured bacterium. RNAcentral describes it as "partial 16S ribosomal RNA". It matches the Rfam family "Bacterial small subunit ribosomal RNA", at positions 338 to 795 of the family's 1533-position model. The record is from RNAcentral.
CCUACGGGUGGCAGCAGUCGAGAAUCAUUCACAAUGGGGGAAACCCUGAUGGUGCGACGCCGCGUGGGGGAAUGAAGGUCUUCGGAUUGUAAACCCCUGUCAUGUGGGAGCAAAUUAAAAAGAUAGUACCACAAGAGGAAGAGACGGCUAACUCUGUGCCAGCAGCCGCGGUAAUAAAGAGGUCUCAAGCGUUGUUCGGAAUCACUGGGCGUAAAGCGUGCGUAGGCUGUUUCGUAAGUCGUGUGUGAAAGGCGCGGGCUCAACCCGCGGACGGCACAUGAUACUGCGAGACUAGAGUAAGGGAGGGGGAACCGGAAUGCUCGGUGUAGCAGUGAAAUGCGUAGAUAUCGAGAGGAACACUCGUGGCGAAGGCGGGUUCCUGGACAUUAACUGACGCUGAGGCACGAAGGCCAGGGGAGCGAAAGGGAUUAGAUACCCGUGUAGUC